UGUAUUGCCUACGUAAAAUAACACAAUAUAAGGUUUCAGGAAGUAUAGAAGAAUUUGUGUUGAUAUAAAUUUUUGUAUAAGCCGUUUAUUACAACAAACAUUGAUAAAUAAAGAAUGGGAGAAAGUGUUCCAUUAUUUGUGAUACUUCCUAUACUUCUUGUCGUAAAAAUAAUGUUCUGGGUAGCUGUUUGUUAUUGGUGUUCAAAUAGAUCCAGAAGUUCACAAGGCACAAUUAUUCAACGAACAACAGCGAUUCGAGGGCCAGUUGAAAAUGGUACUACUGGUAUAGAAAACCCUGGAUAUAUGCAGCAGCCUCCAGCUUAUACCGACGAAACCGGUCCAAACUCAACACAAGCCUCGGUACCACCAUCAUACGAUCUAAUCACCAAGUCACCGUGCUUUGCAGAACAGUAUGAUCAGGAUACACCGCGUUAUUAGUGUAUUUAAGUUUGAUGAAUACGACUGUUGCUACUUGUUUUCAUUACUUACCAUCCACCUUUAUUCAAUUGCUUUUGCUUUUAAAUAAUGUAUUGUUAUAAUAUGUCAUCAUUAAUAUUUGUAGUUUCUAUUUAACAAUCAUGAAACAAAGUAAUACUCUACACAUAAUGAUUUUUUUAUAUAUAUUUUAGGGAAUAAGAUGAACAUAAAUUGACCAUUAAUUUUGUUUAAAGCAUUAAUUCUUUUGUGUGCAGCUUUAAAGUUUCAAUGAACAUAUGUUACAUACAGAAUUGACAUAAAGAUUAUUGAAAGAAAAUAGAAAGAAUAUUACAUAAAUAAAUACUGAUUUGAAAAUAAAAUGAAAAAGAAACAAUGUAUUUAAUAUUGUAUUUGAAUUUGCAAUUGAUAUUUAUUUACUCUACAUACCAUUUCAAUAUUAAAUUUUAUCAAUUAUCAAUAUUGUCAGAAAUGCGGUAUUGAAACAUGUUCUCUACAUAAAUGUGUACAAACACAAACUUA
Mytilus californianus (California mussel) is the source of this 957-nucleotide long non-coding RNA. RefSeq lists it as uncharacterized. NCBI's taxonomy places the organism in Eukaryota, Metazoa, Mollusca, Bivalvia, Mytilida, Mytilidae. The transcript has 4 exons. The record is from RefSeq and is a predicted model, not a curated record.